GACGAACGCUGGCGGCGUGCUUAACACAUGCAAGUCGAACGGUAAGGCCCUUCGGGGUACACGAGUGGCGAACGGGUGAGUAACACGUGGGUGAUCUGCCCUGCACUUCGGGAUAAGCCUGGGAAACUGGGUCUAAUACCGGAUAGGACCACUGCCUGCAUGGGUGGUGGUGGAAAGCUUUUGCGGUGUGGGAUGGGCCCGCGGCCUAUCAGCUUGUUGGAGGGGGGAUGGCCUACCAAGGCGACGACGGGUAGCCGGCCUGAGAGGGUGACCGGCCUCACUGGGACUGAGAUACGGCCCAGACUCCUACGGGAGGCAGCAGUGGGGAAUAUUGCACAAUGGGCGCAAGCCUGAUGCAGCGACGCCGCGUGAGGGAUGACGGCCUUCGGGUUGUAAACCUCUUUCAGCACCGACGAAGCGCAAGUGACGGUAGGUGCAGAAGAAGGACCGGCCAACUACGUGCCAGCAGCCGCCGUAA
RNAcentral lists this ribosomal RNA (478 nucleotides) under uncultured bacterium. Its description in RNAcentral is "partial 16S ribosomal RNA". It matches the Rfam family "Bacterial small subunit ribosomal RNA", at positions 28 to 523 of the family's 1533-position model. The record is from RNAcentral.